Molecule: ribosomal RNA, 467 nt
Filed under: uncultured bacterium
Lineage: Bacteria
Description: partial 16S ribosomal RNA
Rfam family: Bacterial small subunit ribosomal RNA
Source: RNAcentral
AUGAACGCUGGCGGCGUGCUUAACACCUGCAAGUCGAACGGAAAGGCCCAAGCUUGCUUGGGUACUCGAGUGGCGAACGGGUGAGUAACACGUGGGUGAUCUGCCCUGCACUUCGGGAUAAGCCUGGGAAACUGGGUCUAAUACCGGAUAGGACGAUGGUUUGGAUGCCAUUGUGGAAAGUUUUUUCGGUGUGGGAUGAGCUCGCGGCCUAUCAGCUUGUUGGUGGGGUAAUGGCCUACCAAGGCGUCGACGGGUAGCCGGCCUGAGAGGGUGUACGGCCACAUUGGGACUGAGAUACGGCCCAGACUCCGACGGGAGGCAGCAGUGGGGAAUAUUGCACAAUGGGCGCAAGCCUGAUGCAGCGACGCCGCGUGGGGGAUGACGGCCUUCGGGUUGUAAACUCCUGUCGCUAGGGACGAAGCGUUUUUGUGACGGUACCUGGAGAAGAAGCACCGGCUAACUACGUG